Biomphalaria glabrata is the source of this 1665-nucleotide long non-coding RNA. RefSeq lists it as uncharacterized. The transcript is spliced from 7 exons. The record is from RefSeq and is a predicted model, not a curated record. NCBI's taxonomy places the organism in Eukaryota, Metazoa, Mollusca, Gastropoda, Planorbidae.
CUCCACAGCAACCAUAACAUGUCACUCAUGAUAACUGCUAAUCCUAAAACGACGCUUAAUCCCAUUUUAGCCUCCACUGAAAGAUUUGGGAAAAUAUAAAUAUAUUUAUCAAUACAUAUUAAUAUAAAAUAUACCCUCUAAAAUAGCACAUCUUUCCUUCAGCAUACAUAAAUCUGUUUGAAGCAAAAUUGAAAAUUGAGCCUCAUCCCACAUUUUAGUAGAUGAUGCCUCAGCUCAUUUCAUCUGUCCUUUUACUUUCGUCGUGGGGGUGAUGUGACAGCAGCUGUUCUAAGCAGGACAUCAAGAGAGAAGCCGGUACAUUCAUUAAUGUUAUCCAGCUUUUUAUUCUUUGGACGACCCUUUCUUUAUGCUCCCUCCACUGUAAAUUGAACAAUGGCUUGAUAUUGAGUCAUGUCUUACAAUGUGACCAAACUAGUUCAGCUUUCGUCUCUUCACAGUAUUGAGGAGUUACUCCUUUUUGUCAGCCAGAGUGUUAACGUGUAACAGUACAAAUUCGUUUUUCUUGAUUUCCUGAUAACUGAUACAUAUUGGAUUCUUCUUUCAGCCUCAGCGUUCAGUGUCCAACUUCCACAACUAAAUUGGAGUACAUAGUCACUUCACUAGCGAUGGAGGCCAUGCUGACAUGUAUAGAGAAUUUAAUUCGUUCACAUAAGAAAAACACUGUAAGCAAGUCUAGUGAAGAAUGGACAGGAAGUCAAUCUUACGCUAGGUUAUGAUACAGCAAGAUAUACAUCUGUUUGAAUGUAAUGAAAUGGAUCACUGUAAGAAAAAACAAGGUUACAAAGACAGUUUGUGUAGAAACACUAAAAUCUGAACCGGCCCCGAAGUGGUCCACCCAGGCAGGUAAAAAGGACACACCCUGCGAAAUCCAGCUACCAAUGUAGCAAGGCAGGCACUUGAUUGGAAUUCGCAACGAAAGAGAAAAGUGGGCAGACCAAGUCAAACCUGGAAGAUAUCAGUCAUCAUUGAAGCCGAGGGUACUGGAAUGACAUGUCAGCAGAUGAAGAAAGCUGGUCAGAACCGAGUUUGGUGGAGAUGUGUGGUUGCAGCUCCCCUGGGAGUGCACAGGAUUAAGUCAAGCAAAACUGGACAAGGUAUACAAGGAAAACUUGGAGGUCAUAUCUUUCAUAUCUUCGUAUUCACUUUCGUCUUAAGCAAGACAUGGAUUGCAUGGAUUUUGAUACAGAAAUGUGAUGUACACAAUUCGUAAUAUGCAUAGGGUGGAUGUACCUGACGCAGAUAUUCCAAGCGAGGCCCAAUCUUCAAAUCCAGUAUUCGUGGUGCCAAUGGUUCUUCAAGUCAGAUACGGAGAAUGGUUAAAGUCCUUUAAUAAAGUUCAUAUUGAGUCUUUGUGAAUGGCGGAGUGAUGGCGUCUCAGACUCGGUCACAUAACAGCUAAGGGAUGACAUCAACGAAUAAGAACAAGGUGCAGGGGUUACUCUUAUCUCAACCUCAUUAAAACAUCCGCCGGAAAACAUUCAUUAUAGAAAAUGGAUAGGAAAACCAGCGCAGAGUCUAGUAGCUGGAGACCCUAUAACAGAAGAGUUCAGUAGUGGGGGACUAUAUAACAGAAGAGUUCAGUAGUGGGGGACUAUAUAACAGAAGAGUUCAGUAGUGGGAGACUAUAUAACAGAAGAGUUCAGU